Molecule: long non-coding RNA, 406 nt
Organism: Callithrix jacchus (white-tufted-ear marmoset)
Lineage: Eukaryota; Metazoa; Chordata; Mammalia; Primates; Cebidae
Source: RefSeq, a predicted model, not a curated record
CAAAGUCAAAAUAGCUGUGGAGGAACAAGCUGUUCUGCCUCAUGUCUCAUCAACAUUCCUUGCUCAGUGUAUCAAAACACAGAGUGCAUACAGAGCAAAUGCAACAACUCUUCAAAAAGUUCCCUGUUGGGGAUUUUCUUCUCGGGAAACCAUCCACAACUGCCUACUUAAAACAUCAAAAGAAAGGUUUCUGAAGGCCUGUACUCAGCACUACCUGUGGCCACAUUGUGGAAGGAAAAGCUGAGACCCAGCUGGACUAGUGUAAAGCUCAAGUCCCGAGCACAAGAGGUGACAAUUCUGCAGGAGAAGAGUGCCAUCUGCAGGAAGACUGUAUAAGAGCUGGCAAAGCCUCAGAGUUAACAAAAAUGAGACAAUUCAUUAGUGGAGAUUCCAUACUCAGCAAAUU